RNAcentral lists this ribosomal RNA (1382 nucleotides) under uncultured bacterium. RNAcentral describes it as "bacterial SSU rRNA". It matches the Rfam family "Bacterial small subunit ribosomal RNA", at positions 25 to 1399 of the family's 1533-position model. The record is from RNAcentral.
CAGGAUGAACGCUAGCUACAGGCUUAACACAUGCAAGUCGAGGGGCAGCACGGGGGUAGCAAUACUCUGGGUGGCGACCGGCGCACGGGUGCGUAACGCGUAUCCAACCUUCCCAUUACUCUUGGAUAGCCUUCCGAAAGGGAGAUUAAUACAGGAUGGUAUCUGAAUUCCGCAUGUUGAUCAGAUUAAAGAUUUAUCGGUAAUGGAUGGGGAUGCGUGACAUUAGGUAGAUGGCGGGGUAACGGCCCACCAUGCCUACGAUGUCUAGGGGUUCUGAGAGGAAGGUCCCCCACACUGGAACUGAGACACGGUCCAGACUCCUACGGGAGGCAGCAGUGAGGAAUAUUGGUCAAUGGUCGGAAGACUGAACCAGCCAAGUAGCGUGAAGGAUGAAGGUUCUAUGGAUUGUAAACUUCUUUUAUACGGGAAUAAAACACGCCACGUGUGGCGUCUUGUAUGUACCGUAUGAAUAAGCAUCGGCUAACUCCGUGCCAGCAGCCGCGGUAAUACGGAGGAUGCGAGCGUUAUCCGGAUUUAUUGGGUUUAAAGGGUGCGUAGGCGGAAGAUUAAGUCAGUGGUCAAAUCGUGAGGCUCAACCUCAUCCAGCCAUUGAAACUGGUUUUCUUGAGUGGAAGAGAAGUAUGCGGAAUGCGUGGUGUAGCGGUGAAAUGCAUAGAUAUCACGCAGAACUCCGAUUGCGAAGGCAGCAUACCGGCUUCCAACUGACGCUGAAGCACGAAAGCGUGGGUAUCGAACAGGAUUAGAUACCCUGGUAGUCCACGCAGUAAACGAUGAAUACUAAUUGUUCGGCCCGAUUGGGGGCUGAGUAAUACAGCGAAAGCGUUAAGUAUUCCACCUGGGGAGUACGCCGGCAACGGUGAAACUCAAAGGAAUUGACGGGGGCCCGCACAAGCGGAGGAACAUGUGGUUUAAUUCGAUGAUACGCGAGGAACCUUACCCGGGCUCAAACGACAGGGGAAUUAUCUGGAAACAGAUAAGCUAGCAAUAGCCGCUGUCGAGGUGCUGCAUGGUUGUCGUCAGCUCGUGCCGUGAGGUGUCGGCUUAAGUGCCAUAACGAGCGCAACCCCUAUCGAUAGUUGCCAGCAGGUCAAGCUGGGGACUCUAUCGAGACUGCCGGCGCAAGCUGUGAGGAAGGCGGGGAUGACGUCAAAUCAGCACGGCCCUUACGUCCGGGGCGACACACGUGUUACAAUGGUAGGUACAGCGGGAAGCCAUAUGGCGACAUAGAGCAGAACCCGAAAACCUAUCUCAGUUCGGAUUGGAGUCUGCAACUCGACUCCAUGAAGCUGGAUUCGCUAGUAAUCGCGCAUCAGCCACGGCGCGGUGAAUACGUUCCCGGGCCUUGCACUCACCGCCCGUCA